UCGAGCGAGAAAACCGGGGCAACUCGGUGAGUACAGCGGCGGAAGGGUGCGUAAUACAUGGUUAACGUACCCCCCAGUUCGGGAUAACCCUCCGAAAGGUGGGCUAAUACCGGGUAAUGGCAGCGGGUGGCAUCAUUUGCUGCUUAAAGUCGUAAGACGCUGGGGGAGCGGACCAUGGCCUAUCAGCUAGUUGGCGGGGUAACGGCCCACCAAGGCGAUGACGGGUAGCCGGACUGAGAGGUUGAACGGCCACACGGGAACUGAGACACGGUCCCGACAUCUACGGAUGGCAGCAGUAGGGAAUCUUGCACAAUGGGCGAAAGCCUGAUGCAGCGACACCGCGUGGGGGAUGAAGGCCUUCGGGUUGUAAACCCCUUUCAUGAGGGAAGAAUACUGACCUAACCUCAGGAAGAAGCACCGGCUAACUCCGUGCCAGCAGCUGCGGUAAUACGGAGAGUGCAAACGUUGUUCGGAUUCACUGGGCGUAAAGGGCACGUAGGCGGCUCGGCAAAUCGGUCGUGGAAUCUCGACGCUUACCGUCGAAACGGCGGCCGAAAAUACCGGGCUCGAGGGCGUGAGGGGUCACUGGAACUCCUGGUGAAGCGGUGAAAUGCGUAGAUAUCAGGAGGAACGCCGGAGGCGAAAGCGAGUGACUGGCGCGUUCCUGACGCUGAGGUGCGAAAGCUAGGGGAGCAAACAGGAUUAGAUACCCUGGUAGUCCUAGCCGUAAACGAUGGACACUGAGUGAAGGAGGGCUUGCCCUUCUUUGCUGCAGCUAACGCGUUAAGUGUCCCGCCUGGGGAGUACGGCCGCAAGGUUAAAACUCAAAGGAA
Molecule: ribosomal RNA, 833 nt
Filed under: uncultured Actinomycetes bacterium
Lineage: Bacteria; Bacillati; Actinomycetota; Actinomycetes
Description: bacterial SSU rRNA
Rfam family: Bacterial small subunit ribosomal RNA
Source: RNAcentral